Apodemus sylvaticus (European woodmouse) is the source of this 159-nucleotide small nuclear RNA. RefSeq annotates it as U1 spliceosomal RNA. Lineage: Eukaryota; Metazoa; Chordata; Mammalia; Rodentia; Muridae. The transcript has a single exon. The record is from RefSeq and is a predicted model, not a curated record.
AUGCUUACUUGGCAGGGGAGAUCACGAAGGUGGUUAUCCCAGGGCAAGGCUUAUCCAUUGCACUCUGCUGUGGCUGUGUUGACUCCUGCGAUUUCCCCAAAUGGGAAACUCGACUGUAUAAUUUAUGGUAGUGGGGGACUGUGUUCAUGUGCUCCCCUG